Molecule: ribosomal RNA, 512 nt
Filed under: uncultured bacterium
Lineage: Bacteria
Description: partial 16S ribosomal RNA
Rfam family: Bacterial small subunit ribosomal RNA
Source: RNAcentral
GAUGAACGCUAGCGGCAGACCUAACACAUGCAAGUCGAGGGGUAACUAGAGUGAUAGCAAUAUUACUUUGGCUAGACCGGCGCACGGGUGCGUAACACGUAUGCAACCUACCUUAUACUGGGGAAUAACUUCGAGAAAUCGGCGCUAAUACCCCAUAACAUUGCGAAGAGGCAUCUCUUUGCAAUUAAAGCUCCGGCGGUAUAAGAUGGGCAUGCGUCCAAUUAGCUGGUUGGUGAGGUAACGGCUCACCAAGGCUACGAUUGGUAGGGGUUCUGAGAGGAUGAUCCCCCACACUGGUACUGAGACACGGACCAGACUCCUACGGGAGGCAGCAGUGAGGAAUAUUGCGCAAUGGACGAAAGUCUGACGCAGCCAUGCCGCGUGCAGGAUGACGGCCCUAUGGGUUGUAAACUGCUUUUGUACAGAACGAAAAGGUUUCUACUAAUACUAGGAGCUCAUGACGGUACUGUAAGAAUAAGCACCGGCUAACUACGUGCCAGCAGCCGCCGUAA